RNAcentral lists this long non-coding RNA (3855 nucleotides) under Marmota monax (woodchuck). The record is from RNAcentral. Lineage: Eukaryota; Metazoa; Chordata; Mammalia; Rodentia; Sciuridae.
UCUUCCAUUGAUAGCUGCCAAAUUGAGUGAUGUGGGUCUGGAAAUUUCCUAUUAUCAUCAGCAGUAUUGGACGAUACUGUUUUAGACGUUAUGUGACAAUGAAUAGAAGGGUUUAACAGGAAAGCCUGCUUUCAUUACAUAAUUUUGGGAUUGUUUGAUUUGACUGAAGACUUCUUGUGACCCUAAAGAACAGACAUUAGCAUUGAGCUUUUUAGUGGGAAACAAAACAUUGAAUUGUCAAGUUACUUCAAGUUAUCAGAAAUAAGUCAAGAUUCUGGGAGUGUAAUAUAUUUGUAUUCUAAACAGUUGACCAAUGUUAGAAGCAGCAUAUCUAAAAAUACUCUUUGGCAGCAGGGUAAACAGUGAAGCCUAAUGUUUUUAAUGUCACUUCAGAGGGUCUGCAGUAUUUGAUUCAGCCUUAUUUAAAAAUGUAAUGUCUGGCAAAUUAGAAUCCCAAGAGAUGAGGAGUGAAAAUUCAAAUGCAAAGGUAUGUUUCUCUUUGUGUGUAUCAGCAAUGUCCAAUAGAAGUAUAAGGUAAGCCCCAUGUGAACUUUAAAUUUUUUCAUAAUCCAAAUAAAAAUAUAUUGUGAAACUAAGGAAAUUAAAUUUUUGUGAAUUUUAAUUUAAUCCAGCAUAUCUAGCAUAUUACAGUUUUGACAUGUAGUGAGUAUAAAAAUAUUAGUGAGGUAUACUCCUUUUUUUCCUUUUGGUACUAAAUUUUCAAAGUGUAGUGUACGUUUUACACCUAGAGUACCUUGAGUUGGACUAGCCACAUUUCAAAUGUUCGUAACCCUGUGUGAUCAGUGUCCACUGUCUUAGCCAGUGUAAUUUUAUAUUGUAAAGGCAUGAGAAAUAUCAUUUAUUUCUUCUAUACAAAACGAAACACCAUCAUGGGGGAAAUAAAUUCUGAGAAUUAAUGGUAGAAAGUUGUAGUGCGUGAGGCCAAUUAUAGUCACAGGCCUAUUGCUUGCAAAGUGCCGUCUUCAGAAAAUUUCCAUGUGUAGCUCACUAGGUUAAAGAGUCUUCCUAAAGGAGGAGAACAUUAUCAUGGAGCAUCAGGAUACUGUACAGCAAUGAUAAUGUAUUAGUUUUUCAAGUUGGUAUAAAUGAAAACAAAGGUCUGGCAAGACUUAGGCUCAGAAUUGAUACCUAUCUUAUAGGAAGAAUACUGAGAAAUUGAUGUAGAAAUAAUGGUGUCCCCCACCCUAAUGGAAUCACAUUUAAAUUCAAAAUUUGUUAAAUAUUUAGAAACUUUUUUGUUUUUGUUUUUUUAUAUAACCCUGAUUUUUCUUGGUGAAUAAGAGAGAGAUUAGGAACAGUUUGUCAAACUCUGAAAAAUAUUUUAUUGAUUAUUGGCUGUAUAUAAAAUUCUGUACUGUUUACAAAACUCAGUGAAACAAGAUUCCUGCCUUCUGCAAGCACAUGAUCCCAUAGGAGCUGAUUAGACACAUGCAUCACCAAUGGCCACUGCGUGACUUUAUCAAAAGAUGUUUAUGUUCCAUUGCACCAUUUUCAGAUCUGAUAGUUCUGCAAAAUUAGGUUUUCUUCUCCAAAAUAAGGUUUUAUAAAUAGGGAAAUUCAAUCUGCCAGCUAUACUUUUCGAAGCUGCAGAUUUGUGCAAAUUGGGUUUUACAUUUUUUCUUUUAAAUCUGAUUUCAGUAACUGCUUCCCAAUUUAUUUUUGCUUUUUGAGAGAACUUUAAGGGAGAAAAGCUACUUUUUGGUACUUCAUCGUAGUUCCUUUUUAGUUGGUAAGAAAAAUAAAACCCUGUGAGAAAGGUAGAUGCAUUCAAAUGUUUUAGUGUAAAUGGACUUCAAUAGAAAUUCUUAGAUAGCAUAUCUUCAUUUAUAUUUGUAGUUGAAAUUCAAGUUUAUAAACAUAGCUUUUUCUGAGCCCUUUUCAUGCAUUGAAACUUAGAGAAAUAUUCCCAUUGGAAUAUUAAAAAUCCUUUUGAUAUGAGGAGGAAAGUACACCUGAACUUGACUACUAGAAAUAGCAAUGCUCAAAUGUUCUCCGUACACUUGGUUGUUGUAAGAGCAACAGUAAGAAUAUGUCUUAAUGUUUGCUUUAUACCUUGUGUGCUGUGUUGUCUUGUUAUAACACAGCAGAAGAUAAGAUAAACAAGAAUCCUCCUAAGGUUUACCUUGUGAGUUAAACUAGAAUCUUGAAAGCACACACACAAAAAAGGUUUUAGAAAAUUUAGUCAAUAAAAGUGAUAUCUCUUUCUCCUUUGCAACAUUUCUGUAAAUAGGAAUCUAUCUGAAAAUCAGAGCAAAGGACUCAUCAGUAUUACUAUGAUGCCUAUGCAGUACAGGAAUUACCAGUCUGUGACUAAAAGUGUGUCACAGGGUUUCUUCCUUUACUGCUGCUGUUAAUUUGGAAUUUCCAGUCCCACUUCCCUUCCUUUUUCCUUUGUCACUGUAGGCCCCCCUCUUCUCUUUGCCGUGCUUGUCCAUUUCCUCUGUCUUAAAGCAGGGUAGACAUAUACUAGUAGCAUUGUCUGCAGUGGUCUAACUUCAUUUGAUUUUUUUUUUUUAAUUUUGUAGACUAUAGACACAGUCAAACUUAAGCAAAACUUUUUUUAUUUGUGGGUUUGUCAGAGCAAUAAAUUUGAUUCUCAGGAAUUAUAGUUGAAGAAACAGGAAAACAUUUUAAUUAUGUUAAUUUUUACAGGACGAUCCAUUGGUGCUGAAUGAGAUCAGAGAAGAUCUUCGAGUAGAGUGCUCCAAGUUUGGACAAAUUAGGAAGCUCCUUCUCUUUGAUGUAAGUUCAUGGCUUGGAAAAAUGAAUCCUAAAACAAUUAUUUUUCUAGCUUAAUAUAUGAUUAUUGAACAUCAGUAAGCUCCUAAAUUUUAGAUUAAUAUUUUAAUAUAGUAAGUUUGCUAUCUGAUGGUAGUCAUCUAUCAACAAUAACUAGAUAGACAUUUUUUAUUUUUACAAGUCAAGGCUUUGAUAGACUUGGUAUGUCUUGUUCAUUUCUCUUCAUCCCUCUUAGAGGAUGUGAUCAGGUGAAAGAAACUGCAAGAAAAAUGUACAAAACUUUAUUUUUCCCUAUUUGCCCACAUUUUCCCCUCUCUAAAUUAUUCUUCUCUAUAUUUGGAUCAAUUGGGGAAAAUAUUCUACUGUGUAUUUCCCCUUUUCAUCCUUCUUUUACUUCCAAAAUUGACACAGUAAUUUAAAGUCACCAUUUAUUUUUGUUGUACUAUUAGCUCCUUUACGUGUUAUCUCAUUUAGCCCUCAACAACCCUUCCAAGGUAGGUAAGUCCUAUUCUACCCACUUUACAGAUGAGAAAACUAAAACUUUUCAGUUGGAGCACCGUGCCCAGGGUUUAUUCAGCUGGUAACUAACAGCCAGGAUUUAAUCCCAGAGUGAAUCUCACUUCAGUGUUCAUAGUCUUAACAAUUACUCUGUCUUAUCUCUCAUUAAACAAUAUUUUUUGCAGAAAUAUUUCUGGCUCUUGCUAGAUAAGAUGUAGCUAAAGAAAUAGCUGAAUGCAUGCCGUUUUGGGGAUAAAAGGGAGAAAGACUUCUUAAAGUCUUCUACCUUGAAGUAUCAAAGAGAAUACUAUACCUUACAUACUUUAUCAAAUGUGUUUUGCUUUUAAUCUUAUUGUUCAUUAUUUUUUGUUCAUUCUUGUCUUUCUAGAGGCACCCAGAUGGUGUGGCCUCUGUGUCCUUUAGGGAUCCCGAGGAAGCUGAUCAUUGUAUUCAGACCCUUGAUGGAAGAUGGUUUGGUGGUCGACAGAUCACCGCCCAAGCAUGGGAUGGGACUACAGAUUAUCAGGUAAAUUCUACAGUUAUCAAGGCACACAGAUUGUUUUAUUACCAACAAAUAUUGAUCAAGCAGUCUUUUAG